UACAGAGGUCUCAAGCGUUUGUUCGGAUUCAUUGGGCGUAAAGGGUGCGUAGGCGGCUCAGUAAGUCGGGUGUGAAAACUCCAGGCUCAACCUGGAGACGCCACCUGAUACUGCUGUGGCUAGAGUCCGGUAGGGGAGCAUGGAAUUCCUGGUGUAGCGGUGAAAUGCGCAGAUAUCAGGAGGAACACCAGUGGCGAAGGCGGUGCUCUGGGCCGGAACUGACGCUGAGGAGCGAAAGCGUGGGGAGCAAACAGG
This 255-nucleotide ribosomal RNA is filed under the name uncultured bacterium. RNAcentral's name for it is "partial 16S ribosomal RNA". It matches the Rfam family "Bacterial small subunit ribosomal RNA", at positions 524 to 776 of the family's 1533-position model. The record is from RNAcentral.